UUUUUUUCUUUUCUCAUUGAUUUUCUAUCCUUGGCACAUAGGGCCCUUUUGGGCUAUCCCACCAACCCACCAAGGGCUGCUGCGCCACCCCGAGGGCCUAUGGGCUUCCUCGGGUGGGUUGGCCCCUCCCGGUGAACAUCCGGAACCCAUUCGUCACUCCCGGUACAUUACCGGUAAUGCCCGAAUACCUUCCGGUAAUCAAAUGAGGUUAUCCUAUAUAUCAAUCUUCAUCUCUGGACCAUUCCAGAAACCCUUGUGACGUCCGUGAUCUCUUCCGGGACUCCAAACAAUAUUCGGUAACCA
Molecule: long non-coding RNA, 303 nt
Filed under: Hordeum vulgare
Lineage: Eukaryota; Viridiplantae; Streptophyta; Magnoliopsida; Poales; Poaceae
Description: long non-coding RNA (HVUL_LNC007086)
Source: RNAcentral